CAGUGAGGAAUAUUGGUCAAUGGGCGCAAGCCUGAACCAGCCAUGCCGCGUGCAGGAUUAAGGCCCUAUGGGUUGUAAACUGCUUUUGUACGGGAAGAAACACCGAUUCGUGAAUCGGCUUGACGGUACCGUAAGAAUAAGGAUCGGCUAACUCCGUGCCAGCAGCCGCGGUAAUACGGAGGAUCCAAGCGUUAUCCGGAAUCAUUGGGUUUAAAGGGUCCGUAGGCGGGCCUGUAAGUCAGUGGUGAAAUCUUUCGGCUCAACCGGAAAAUUGCCAUUGAUACUGCAGGCCUUGAAUUAUUGGGAAGUAACUAGAAUAUGUAGUGUAGCGGUGAAAUGCUUAGAUAUUACAUGGAAUACCGAUUGCGAAGGCAGGUUACUACCAAUACAUUGACGCUGAUGGACGAAAGCGUGGGGAGCGAACAGGAUUAGA
Molecule: ribosomal RNA, 433 nt
Filed under: uncultured bacterium
Lineage: Bacteria
Description: bacterial SSU rRNA
Rfam family: Bacterial small subunit ribosomal RNA
Source: RNAcentral